This 512-nucleotide ribosomal RNA is filed under the name uncultured bacterium. RNAcentral describes it as "bacterial SSU rRNA". It matches the Rfam family "Bacterial small subunit ribosomal RNA", at positions 8 to 518 of the family's 1533-position model. The record is from RNAcentral.
AGAGUUUGAUCCUGGCUCAGGAUGAACGCUGGCGGCGUGCUUAACACAUGCAAGUCGAGCGAAGCGAUUUCAAGGAAGUUUUCGGACGGAAUUGAAAUUGACUGAGCGGCGGACGGUGAGUAACGCGUGGGUAACCUGCCUCAUACAGGGGGAUAACAGUUGGAAACGACUGCUAAUACCCGCAUAAGCACACAGUGCCGCAUGGUACGGUGUGAAAAAACUCCGGUGGUAUGAGAUGGACCCGCGUCUGAUUAGGUAGUUGGUGAGGUAACGGCCCACCAAGCCGACGAUCAGUAGCCGACCUGAGAGGGUGACCGGCCACAUUGGGACUGAGACACGGCCCAAACUCCUACGGGAGGCAGCAGUGGGGAAUAUUGGACAAUGGGGGAAACCCUCGAUCCAGCGACGCCGCGUGAGUGAAGAAGUAUUUCGGUAUGUAAAGCUCUAUCAGCAGGGAAGAAAAUGACGGUACCUGACUAAGGAGCCCCGGCUAACUACGUGCCAGCCGCCGC